UACGGGGGGGGGCAAGCGUUGUUCGGAAUUACUGGGCGUAAAGGGCUCGUAGGUGGCCAACUAAGUCGGACGUGAAAUCCCUCAGCUUAACUGGGGAACUGCGUCCGAUACUGGAUGGCUUGAGUUUGGGAGAGGGAUGCGGAAUUCCAGGUGUAGCGGUGAAAUGCGUAGAUAUCUGGAGGAACACCGGUGGCGAAGGCGGUUCUCUGGGCAUGACCUGACGCUGAGGAGCGAAAGUGUGGGGAGCGAACAGG
Molecule: ribosomal RNA, 254 nt
Filed under: uncultured bacterium
Lineage: Bacteria
Description: partial 16S ribosomal RNA
Rfam family: Bacterial small subunit ribosomal RNA
Source: RNAcentral